UGCGUAGGCGGGUCUUUAAGUCAGAGGUGAAAGCCUGGAGCUCAACUCCAGAACUGCCUUUGAUACUGGAAGUCUUGAGUUCGGGAGAGGUGAGUGGAACUGCGAGUGUAGAGGUGAAAUUCGUAGAUAUUCGCAAGAACACCAGUGGCGAAGGCGGCUCACUGGCCCGAUACUGACGCUGAGGCACGAAAGCGUGGGAGCAAACA
Molecule: ribosomal RNA, 206 nt
Filed under: uncultured bacterium
Lineage: Bacteria
Description: partial 16S ribosomal RNA
Rfam family: Bacterial small subunit ribosomal RNA
Source: RNAcentral